This is a long non-coding RNA of Carya illinoinensis, 1741 nucleotides long. RefSeq lists it as uncharacterized. The record is from RefSeq and is a predicted model, not a curated record. The transcript is spliced from 2 exons. NCBI's taxonomy places the organism in Eukaryota, Viridiplantae, Streptophyta, Magnoliopsida, Fagales, Juglandaceae.
UUUUCUUCGUUGAAAUGCCCUCACUUGAUGGCUUCUACAUUUUAUUUUAUUUUUAAUUUCAGUCAGACGUUGACGUGGCAGCCGGUUACACGGCGAUUGCAUCCCGCGGUUGUAAGUAGCAGAAUUGAAAAAAAAAAAAAGGGUUCCAGACUCCAGCACGUAUCAUUUUGCAAUUCGGCAAGGCCCAGUAGAACCCUAGAUAUGCUUCCCCUAUAAAUUCACAAUCUUCCGCGCUGCCCAUUGUCCUCUGCACAAUAUGUUCACAGUGUCUCUUCCCAUCUCCUUCGUAUGUGCUUUUGCGAGUGGUUAAAACGAAGAUCGACAUACCGAAACGCAGAGUUUUCUCUUGUUUUAAUUGGGAGAAAGCCUUGCGUGUAGACCACCACGCUCACCGGUGGAGCGAUCUCACUCAUCACUUUUGUAGCCUUUGGGGAAAACAGAGUUUGCAAUGAGGAUGGCAAAAGCUCCCUCUUCUGAGGUUUUAAGGUGAGGAAUUCUGCUGGCAGAAUCGAACCUACAACUUUAAACGCCACAACCGAGUAACCUCUCUUCCCUUUUUUCCAUUUCAAUUAAUUCACUUUUGUACUCUUAUCGUGUCUGUGUUUCUAUAAACAAUUUAAGUAUUUCGAUCAUUUUAAUAUUUUUGGAUAUCUACUCUAUGUUCUGAUGCGGAUGAAUGGUAAUAGCCUUCAAGAAUGUGACAAUAUUUCUUAAUUGUUGGCUUUGUUCUGAAAAGUAUAAAUACUAUUUUGCUUUCUCCUAUAUUUAAGUUGAGGCCGAUGAUGAUCUAAAUGAUUUUUGCCUACAUUGCAUGAUUAUCUGGACUAAGAUAGUGAUAUAUCUGAAUUUUCUGAGGCCUUUAGAUCGUAAUUUCUUCGAGUCAUGGGAUGGGCAGGAUAUGUUUUGAUGCAUGUUAGAUCUGCAGCUUGACCACUAUGCUGUUUUUAGUGUGCAUUAUAAUGUCUACAUUCAUAAAUUUGGGAGCUUUGUUUUAUCAGUUUUCUGUGUUCAUUUCUUUCCAUCUAAUGUUAGAACUGUUUCAUGUUUUGCUCAACCUGCCAUCAAAGUGUACAAUCUAUGUAAUCUCUCGUUCUUCAUAGGGAACUGGUGACGUGUUUUCUUAAGGUAUUUUCUUAAGGUAUUUGGGUGACUUGAAAAUGAUAUAUAUAUAUAUAUAUAUAUAUAUAUUUUUUUUUUUUUAAAAAGAAGAAUCUAAAGUCCUCAGUCUCUUCCUUAUAGAUCGAUCUAUAGGAGGGGACAAGUAAAAAUACCACUCUUUUCUAGUUCCUUUUAGAUUAAGCAUACAAAUUGAUGGCCUUUUUUAUUUCUUUUUUAAGUGAAUAAACAAUUUGUAAACUUGCGUUGAUGUUUUUGUACAAUCUCUUGGCUGCCCUCCCAAUCCACCGUUCGAAAUAUGUUUUCACUCGCUGGGGAUAUGGAUGGUCUUCAUAUAUGUAUGAAGCUAUAGCAAAUAAACCAUGAUGCUGCAAUGCAACUAAUCAAAACAUACAAAGAAGAAAAGGAGUUGGAGUUUCAUGGAUUAUCAAUCUUGGCAUUGAGUGAUUUCCGCCAAGUGGUGCAUGUCUCUAUAGAUAAAUUUAUGGGCGAGCUAAUGGCAUGUAAUCUAAGUUCUAACAAUAUGUUGUUCUCCGUUUUAUAGCAAAAGUUUAUAUAUGAGAUCAAGGCCGUCUGUAUCUCUUACACUAUUAUUUCUCACUUUUUAGUUGAAAGUUGGGUAUUA